UAUCUCAUACAUAAGUAGCUUUUACCCAGGCAAAUUUGUAGUGCUUUUAUUUUGGUAACUUAAAAUAUAGAAAAGGAACAAACAUCAUUGUCUGAUUUCCACCACAAAACAUAUUUCAGUAUGUGAAAAAAAUGGAAUGAAUGUGCCUUAAUCAAUAAGGUUGUAAAAGCGCUUUUUAUUUUCAAACUUGCUUAAUGUAGCUUCUCCAGUACUUUUAAACGAUUCAGGAGCCUGAAUGGUGUUUCAAAAAUAAAAAAACGGGGGCGGGGCACAAUAAUUCUUUCCAGAAUAAUAAAGUGUGAAGAUGAGGCAGCAUGACAGGAUUAAGGAAAGUUCCUUUAAUGUGACAAAGAUGCUUUGUUUACCUAUCUGCACUACACCGCUGCAGCCACUCUUUCUCACGCAGAAGUAAAAUAACACCGAUCGCCACGAUGUCGCCCUUUUUUUAGCGUUGUACACAUCACUCUGAUCAGGUCGCUGAACUACAAUCCAUUGCUGGGAGGUUCUGCAGAACUUUGGCCAGCUUUCCCGAUAGCAUUUUGGUUGAUGCUAAGUGUAUUACUAUUAGCCUCUGUGCAGCUGCAGUCCUUCAUUUGUUCUUAUCUGAGCCACUAAAAAACACAGCAAUCCACGUUUUUAUAUGUUACUGGCAGCAACAUGGCACAGAGAUUUGGUUCGGUAUCAUCCCAAGUGAAAACUAAGUAGUUCAUAUCUCAUAAUAACGAAAAAAAGCUGCCUCUGGCGGAGGUCUUCCUGUUGUUUUGUGCAGAGUAGAGCUGCUUAAAGAGGCUCUGUGUGCUCUGCUGCCAACUAGCGGUCGGAGGGUGAAGUGGAAACAACAGUCAGACACUGAAGGACACUCAGAAAUAUUUAAAUAAAUAUCGUCCUGACAGAAUUUUGAAUCGAUGCAAGUAUCGCCAAAUGAACUAUCGCGAUAUAUUGCUGAAUCGAUUUUUUCUAACACCUUUACUGUAAAUUACAACCUUUGUGUUAUAUACUCUGCUAGAUCCUCAACAGUUGUCUUAAGAGAGUGGAGCAUGUUUUUGCUGCAACAGCCAUGUCACUGCCACUUGGUUCCCACCAUUAUCAGCAAACCCGAUGGAGCACCGUCCGGACAAUGCAGCCAGUCUGCAGUGGAUCAUCAUCUCUGUUUUUGUUCCAGGACACUCUGUGUAAGCACAUUUAUAAUUUCUUUUCUUGUUGAUCCAAACAAACAACAACAAAGAAAUUGCAAUACUUUUUUACAUUUAAAAACUGCUGAGGCCACAGGCCAGUGAGAUUUUCUAUCUAUAUCCGCUAAGUGGAAGCGGGUGGAGAGAAGAGAUUAGAACACAUCUAAUUAGUGCCGGGCAAUGUCUGAACUGGACGGUGGUAGUUCAGUAUUAAACGACUUGCCUUUUUUUAAAUUAAGAUCAAUGGUUGUGUGUUAAUUGAUUGAUAAUAUAAAAAAUUCUAUUCCUUAGGCCUGCACUAUAAACCAUCAAUUUAUUGUUAUUUUGAAGACAAGCUUUGCAAUACGCAUAUCGCUAUGUCUUAUGACAGCUUGAAGUAUUUAAUGAAUCAAAUAAAUCCAUUUAUGCAUUUGAACAAUUGGAUGGACCACUUUACAUCAUUGACCAAUCAGAUGGACCACUUAACAUCAUUGACCAAUCGGAUGGAGACCUUUUAUGUUAGAUGCUUCCUAUGCAGACAAGGGUCAUUUGGAGUAUAAUUUAAUUAUAUAAGUAUAUAUAUAUAUAUGUAUAUAUAUAUUAUAUAAGUAUAAUUUAAGCUGAUUUGACUCUUGUUUAAACUGUUGCAGUAAAAUGUAAAUGAUUUUUUUGGUUGUCUUGUUUAUGUGUCGCAAGUUAUAUCGCCAUUCGCAAUAUUCAUCACUAUUAUUGCACAUUGAGAGUUUUUCUCAUAUCGUGUAUCCCUACUAUACAUUUUACUCAUUGAACCAAUGGAAGCAGAACCAUAGAUCCCGUUUGAGUUGGGCUGUUCUAUUUGAGCCCGUUUAAAUAAAUUACUCAAGUUCCCACCUUUUCCUAAGUUACCUUCAAUUGUAGUUCUUGUGUGUAUACAGUAAACCCUUGUUUUUCGCGGGGGUUACGUUCCAAAAAGAACCCGUGAUAGGCAAAAUCCGUGAAGUAGAAAACCUUUUUUUUAACAAUUAUUAUACAAUUAAAUUCUCUAUUAUACAUUGAAAAGAAAGAACAAACCAUUUUACAGGCUCAAGCAUUUUUUUCACAAAUAAAAGUACUUUAGAAAAGGUUUUUCAACAAAUAACUUCUGUACUGUACUGUCAAAUAAUAAUUUGAAUCAUCGGUGUAAACAGAAGGCUUCAAAUCGCGGAGAUUAGCCCCGCCCACCGCGACCCGAGG
Molecule: long non-coding RNA, 2363 nt
Organism: Oryzias sinensis (Chinese medaka)
Lineage: Eukaryota; Metazoa; Chordata; Actinopteri; Beloniformes; Adrianichthyidae
Source: Ensembl